AGUGAACGCUGCCGGUAGGCCUAACACAUGCAAGUCGAACUGCAGCACAGUAAGUGCUUGCUCUUACGUGUGGCGAGUGGCGGACGGGUGCGGAAAACAUCUUAAUUUACUUUUUCGUGGGUUAUAACGUUGCUAACCUUACGCUCAUAUCGCAUCCGCCCUCCGGGUUUAUACUGCGGAUCUUCGGACCUUGCGCUCCUGAAUGCUCCGAUGUCGGAUUAGCUAGUUGGCGGGGUAUAGGCCCACCAAGGCGACGAUCCGUAGCUGGUCUGAGAGGAUGAUCAGCCACACUGGAACUGAGACACGGUCCAGACUCCUACGGGAGGCAGCAGUGGGGAAUAUUGGACAAUGGGCGCAAGCCUGAUCCAGCCAUACCGCGUGGGUGAAGAAGGCCUUCGGGUUGUAAAGCCCUUUUGUUGGGAAAGAAAAGCAGCAGGUUAAUACCCCGCUGUUCUGACGGUACCCAAAGAAUAAGCACCGGCUAACUUCGUG
This 492-nucleotide ribosomal RNA is filed under the name uncultured bacterium. RNAcentral's name for it is "partial 16S ribosomal RNA". It matches the Rfam family "Bacterial small subunit ribosomal RNA", at positions 29 to 507 of the family's 1533-position model. The record is from RNAcentral.